UAGGGAAUCUUCCGCAAUGGGCGAAAGCCUGACGGAGCAACGCCGCGUGAGUGAUGAAGGUCUUCGGAUCGUAAAACUCUGUUAUUAGGGAAGAACAAAUGUGUGAGUAACUAUGCACGUCUUGACGGUACCUAAUCAGAAAGCCACGGCUAACUACGUGCCAGCAGCCGCGGUAAUACGUAGGUGGCAAGCGUUAUCCGGAAUUAUUGGGCGUAAAGCGCGCGUAGGCGGUUUUUUAAGUCUGAUGUGAAAGCCCACGGCUCAACCGUGGAGGGUCAUUGGAAACUGGAAAACUUGAGUGCAGAAGAGGAAAGUGGAAUUCCAUGUGUAGCGGUGAAAUGCGCAGAGAUAUGGAGGAACACCAGUGGCGAAGGCGACUUUCUGGUCUGUAACUGACGCUGAUGUGCGAAAGCGUGGGGAUCAAACAGG
This 429-nucleotide ribosomal RNA is filed under the name Actinomycetes bacterium. RNAcentral describes it as "Actinobacteria bacterium partial 16S ribosomal RNA". It matches the Rfam family "Bacterial small subunit ribosomal RNA", at positions 355 to 776 of the family's 1533-position model. The record is from RNAcentral. Lineage: Bacteria; Bacillati; Actinomycetota; Actinomycetes.